UACGUAGGGGCAAGCGUUAUCCGGAUUUACUGGGCGUAAAGGGAGCGUAGGCGGACUUUUAAGUGAGAUGUGAAAUACCCGGGCUCAACUUGGGUGCUGCAUUUCAAACUGGAAGUCUAGAGUGCAGGAGAGGAGAAUGGAAUUCCUAGUGUAGCGGUGAAAUGCGUAGAGAUUAGGAAGAACACCAGUGGCGAAGGCGAUUCUCUGGACUGUAACUGACGCUGAGGCUCGAAAGCGUGGGGAGCAAACAGGAUUAGAUACCCGCGUA
This 268-nucleotide ribosomal RNA is filed under the name uncultured prokaryote. RNAcentral's name for it is "partial 16S ribosomal RNA". It matches the Rfam family "Bacterial small subunit ribosomal RNA", at positions 524 to 792 of the family's 1533-position model. The record is from RNAcentral.